UCCGCCCAUCAAGGCGGCUGUCUCGGCAGACACGUAUAACUGCCGACGCGGGUUGCGCUCGUUGCGGGACUUAACCCAACAUCUCACGACACGAGCUGACGACAACCAUGCAGCACCUGUGCAGCACCCUCGAAGGAGCCGGCUUUCACCGGUGUGCAGCUGCAUGUCAAGCCUGGGUAAGGUUCUUCGCGUUGCGUCGAAUUAAACCACACGCUCCGCUGCUUGUGCGGGCCCCCGUCAAUUCCUUUGAGUUUUAAGCUUGCGCUCGUACUCCCCAGGCGGCCGGCUUACCGCGUGAGCUUAGGCACCCAGGACCCUAAACGGGUCCCAGCCACCGAGCCGGCAUCGUUUACGGCGUGGACUAC
RNAcentral lists this unclassified non-coding RNA (365 nucleotides) under uncultured Chloroflexaceae bacterium. Its description in RNAcentral is "contains 16S-23S intergenic spacer region". The record is from RNAcentral. Lineage: Bacteria; Bacillati; Chloroflexota; Chloroflexia; Chloroflexales; Chloroflexaceae.